GUUUGAUCAUGGCUCAGGAUUAACGCUAGCGGCAGGCCUAAUACAUGCAAGUCGAACGGGAUUCAAAGUAGCAAUAUUUUGAUGAGAGUGGCGCACGGGCGAGUAACACGUAUGCAAUUUACCUUUAACUGGGGGAUAGCCCUCCGAAAGGAGGAUUAAUACCGCAUAAUAUAUUGAAAUGGCAUCAUUUUAAUAUUAAACCUACGGGGGUUAAAGAUGAGCAUGCAUCCGAUUAGCUAGUUGGUGUGGUAACGGCUCACCAAGGCAACGAUCGGUAGGGGGUCUGAGAGGAUGAUCCCCCACACUGGUACUGAGACACGGACCAGACUCCUACGGGAGGCAGCAGUAAGGAAUAUUGGACAAUGGAGGCAACUCUGAUCCAGCCAUGCCGCGUGAAGGAUUAAGGCCCUAUGGGUUGUAAACUUCUUUUAGACGGGACAAAACCCCUUUACGUGUAAAGGGUUGAUGGUACUGUCAGAAUAAGCAUCGGCUAACUUCGUG
Molecule: ribosomal RNA, 501 nt
Filed under: uncultured bacterium
Lineage: Bacteria
Description: bacterial SSU rRNA
Rfam family: Bacterial small subunit ribosomal RNA
Source: RNAcentral